This 226-nucleotide long non-coding RNA is filed under the name Actinidia chinensis (golden kiwifruit). RNAcentral's name for it is "long non-coding RNA (ACHI_LNC006436)". The record is from RNAcentral. Lineage: Eukaryota; Viridiplantae; Streptophyta; Magnoliopsida; Ericales; Actinidiaceae.
AUAAUUCACUAUUUCAGGAAUGAAUUACAAUGAGUACAAUAGGGAGGAGCUCAUCUCCACUCACCUCUCAGCACUCUCUCAUCUCUCACCAUCUCACUGUUUGUUCUCUCCUCUCACAGCUCACCAAUUCUAGCCCACUCUCUGUCAGAUCUCUGGUGCUCUCACUAGCACCAUAACACUCCCCCCAAAUACAUAACCCUCUCUCCCAGCCCCCUCUGCACACAGC